GAGAGACACACACGCACACACACACACACAGAGAAUGCCACCUCGUCAAUGACAAGCUGUUCCAAUCACACAGCUCGGACACCAAGCGGACCGGACAACGGACAGCCCAGGCCUCCUCCCUCUGACUGGGAGGAAGCCAACUCAGCACGUCUGGGGAAGUGAUCCCCCACGGCAAGCCCCCCACUCACCCUCCAUAUUUGAUCUGACAGCAGUGCUCUAUCCUGGCCGGUAGGCUUCCCUGCAACCAGCUCCCACAACUCUGACCAACUACCCUCCUGGCCUUCAGGUGAGGCACUGCUCUCUCUCCUGUCGCAAAGCACAAGGAAACCCCAAACCAAGCAGGAGACCACCGGCGCACCACUUCUCCAGAGGACCAGACAGAGUGAGCUGAAAACCAAGUACUCACUGUGGUGAAGUCUUGGUGGCCGCACUCCUGCCCUUUGAACUUGCAGUAGAGCAUCAUAUCCUUCAGGUCAUGGCCCACACGGUGCAGGAACUCCAGCAUGCUGAACUGCUUGGGUUUGUAGUGCUUGAAGUUGGCCUUCUGCCGCAGGGCCUCCAGCACUGAGGGGUCAGCCAGAUGGGGGUCCGGGAUCUGCAGGUUGACAUCCAGCAGGGCCAGCAGCUCCCCAGCAUGGUACAGGUCAUUGGUAGUGAGCCUGGAGAACCGGAAGCCAUUGAGGUUACAGAGGGUCACAGCUGGGAAGACCAGGCUUUGAGCCACCACUUCAUCCACCUUGGUGACGUGCUGGUAGGAGAAGUAGUAGGACACCCUCUCAGAGCUCUCCACCAGCAGCAGGCCCAGAGAGCCCAUGAAGGCCACUGCCCACAGCACACGCCGGAUGGUCAGCGGCCCAUACACGAAGAUGUGGCGGAUGCCAUGGAGGGUGGAGGUGUUGGCAAAGAUCUGGAUGCUAGAAGGUUGCAGGCUGCCCUCACUGGGGCUCUCCUUGAGGUCCAUCGGGACCCUGUGCAGUUCUGCAACUGGCUUCAGGUUGAUCGAAUUUCAGAGAAGAGUUCUCAGUCCUCGGACUCUGCUUAAACCUGGACGUUCAGGGGAGAGAACGCAAGGCAAGCAUCAGGCCAGACGCUGUGAGUUUAUCCUGAGAGCCCAGCCGCACGCUGACAGGGCUCCAGGCCCUCUGCUACAGGAAGACUUCUUGGAUUAAUCUGCUAAUCUUCAGCUCAUCCACCUGUUUAAUAGGCAAAACCUACAGAACCAGUCAACACUGAGUGGACCUCUGGGGCUCCCAGCUGCCAAUUGACCUGAACCCCAGAGUGAACUUGUGUUGCUUUGUGGCUUCAGGAAACCUUGUAACAUCUCUGUGGUGUUUUUUCAUUUGUGCUCAAUCAUUCCUGAGGCCUCCUCCUCCUGCUGCAAUUUGACAAGCCUUGACCAAAUCAUUAACUCCCAGUUAAUGGGAUAAAAAUGAGUUUGAAUCUGGGAUUCUGGUCAUUAACGCCAUGUCACCAUCUGCUCCAGCAGUUUGAUGGCAGGGCUAGGUGAAUUCUAAUCACCCAACACUUGUUAAACUGCUGAUUCCUGCUUCCCCACCUCUGCUGACUCAGCAUCUCUGGGGCGGGGCCUGCAAAGGCUCUCUUCCUUGACCGGGUUAUUGAGGGCAGCUCUAGGAACACACCCAGGACCAGACCUGAUGAGGAGUUCCUCCUAUGCAUCAGUCUACUUCUGUCCCUCUUUCCCCUGGGAAGGAAAAAUAGAAGAAAGAAGCCAUCUCUGUUUGCUUUCUCUCUGUCACUCAAUCUCUGGAGCCAACUGCUUCACAAAUGAAGAGAAGUGCACAGAGAGUCCCUGAAGCCCACCAUCAACAGACAGGCUUUCAACAAAACUGUAUCAGCACCGCCUUGGCCGUAGCUACACUCUACAGAAAACCGGAGAGAGGAACAGUGCUAGAGAAAUUUGUCCUUGCCUGGUUCCUGGGUGGAACUUCCUCUCCCCCUUGUGUUCUACGAGUGUGGUUACAGCUGCCUCUGAUCUUUGGUGACCAGCGGUUGGCAGUGGUGGUAUUUCAGCAUACCUUGAUCAUCGUGCUUAUUACACAGCCUCCUUUAUUCAUCAACCCCACCUACCUUCUUCUAGCCAUGCCCUCCACCUCCUCCCAUCUCUAUCCAUCUCUUCGCUCUUUUAAAAAAUACUUAAGUGUGUACAGAUCACAGUGACUUCAUUUGUGUGCCCAUUCACAUUUGAUGACUUCCAUAUCCCCCAUACAAGUAGCUGUGUAUUCGUUUUAAUUCACUUUAUUUAUUUCCUAGCUCUUUCAUAAAAUAAAAUGAAAUAUAAGUAAUGAAAUGGGAAUAAAAAAGAGAAAAAUCGAAUUGAGGGGGAAAAGGACAAAUGCAUCUAUGUUUGUGAUCGCGUUCAUCUUUCUCCAUGCAUCAAUAUGCAUACUAUUAUUAAUUCAUUACACAUAUUUUAACAUGUAGGCACUACAUGGGGAUGUGGUGUCUACAUACCACCUCUAUAGUGGUAGGCGCUGCAAAGGGACAUACAAAAGGUAAAAAGCAUAGUCUCUACUCUCAUAGGACUUUUCAUCUCAUGGAUGUGGCACUCAUAAUGUCUUUUAUCUGUGUCCCACUUGAUGUGAAACUCUUUAGUAGGCAUGAUCCUAUUUGAUUUCCAUAAGCAGUAGAGGGGUCACUGUUUCCAUGUUAUGAGACAGGAAACUGAGGUUCAGAGAGUGAAAGGACCCUGAUGAGAUAAUAAAUGGAACUGGGGCUCAAAUCCUGGUUUCCCAACUCAACAUUUCACAUUCUUUCUACUCUGUCAUUAUUCAUUAGUCAAGUUUCUCCACAGACAACUCACUGAGCCACAACAUAUGAAGCAACAUGGUAAUGCCACUAGAUUAGUCAUGAUCAGAAGAUGUGGCCCCAGGGAAGAGAAAGCAAGAGAGCUGGAGAGAGCGGAGAAAGCACCAAGGAAGGGCUUGUCCAUGAAGCUCUAGCAGGGAGGUCCUUCCUUUCAGCCCCCAAGUGUCCCUCUGUGCCUCAUCUAAAAAGCAAAAAAAGAGGAGAACUAGAGCUUAUGGUUGAAGGCGUGAGAAUGAGGUGUCUUUUCCCUCUAUCUCUGUAAUAUACAAGUAUAAAUACUAUAUAUACAUAUGUAUAUGUGUUCCUUUUUUCUGUGUCUGAUUAUGCAUGCAAUUUAGCAAGGAUUUAUUGCCUAAUUUUGGUCUGGGCACUUUGCUAACGCAAUGGGGGAGGAUACCAAGAAGUUAGGGACACAGCCUCAUUGUCCCCAGAGACUUCUUGGGGUGGGCAAGGCAGGGUGUCUGUGCAUACUGCUGGGGGAGCUCUGGAUUAUGGGACAUCAGGAGACAUGACAUUGAGAUUUCCUACUCAGUUCUCUGUACAGAUUGGAUUUCCAUGGAAGAAAGAAAAUCAACAUGUAUUGGGAGUCAACAUCUCAUUCAGUCCUGUGAGUUUAUUCUGCCUAUUUUUCAGACAAGGAGACUAAGGCUUCAAGACAGUAAGUAAAUUGCCCACAGUGUCAUUGCUGGUGUGGGAAUGAGCUUCAGGGUCAUUGAGUCAUGCUGCUGCCCAGGUACCUUGUAAGGCUGUCAAGUGUUGUGGGUAAGGGUUUUGGUGCUGCCGUUCAGGUGAUUGUGAGUUUAAAGCCUGGGCCCACCCACACCAGCAGUGUUAUUUGAAGCAUGCUAUUGAACUUGCCUAAGCUUCCGUUUGCUCAUGGGACAUGGGACAUGGGACAUGGGACAUGGGACAUGCCCAUGUAACAUGGGAACAGUAACAUUGCCUAUCUCAUAAGACUGAUGGGAG
RNAcentral lists this long non-coding RNA (3792 nucleotides) under Pongo abelii (Sumatran orangutan). Its description in RNAcentral is "lincRNA". The record is from RNAcentral. Lineage: Eukaryota; Metazoa; Chordata; Mammalia; Primates; Hominidae.